GACCAGGGUGCAGGCGCCCGCCGACCCCGGGCGAGACCCCAGAGCCGCGAGCACACACGCACUUGUUUGCUCAGGCUUGAAGCUCCGGGUGGCCUGUUACGCAGCGACAGCCGACUGGAGCAGGGACCACGGUGCGAGCCGAGAGCCACCACGGCGGUGGGGACGCCGGCCGGUGCAGCAAGACAAGAAAAAAGAAAAGGAACGGAGGUUGGAGAGAAAAGAUUUCAGAAAACCCAAGAAAGAAGAACUAAACACAGCAGAGCAGGCGGCCGGCAGCUAACCCAAGGUCACGGCGCUCCCAGCCGGGGAGAAUGGGGAGUCUGGGAGUCUGUGCCCUCUGCGCCCACCCCCUGCUCCUUAUACGCCUGCCUCGCCUGGUUCCACGCUUGCCUCCCCGUACUAAACAGCUACAGGCGCGCACACGCCCCAGCGCUGGGCUGGCGCCCCGAAAGCCGCACCCCCCACCCCCUAACACUCCCGGGAGACGACCGCCACUGGACCCACUUUACAGCCGGGGAGACUGAGGCCCAGAGGUCUCAGAGGCAAGUUCAAGGUAGCUCUGUGGCAGGGGCUCCAGAGUCUCUGCAGACGCGCUCCGCCCGCAAGGGCUGGCGGUCGGGUGUGCUCAAGGCAGCCCAAGCCGGCCGCCCU
Long non-coding RNA from Herpailurus yagouaroundi (jaguarundi), 651 nucleotides. RefSeq lists it as uncharacterized. The transcript is spliced from 3 exons. NCBI's taxonomy places the organism in Eukaryota, Metazoa, Chordata, Mammalia, Carnivora, Felidae. The record is from RefSeq and is a predicted model, not a curated record.